UAAGGAGGAUGCGAGCGUUAUCCGGAUUUAUUGGGUUUAAAGGGUGCGUAGGCGGAAUAUCAAGUCAGCGGUAAAAAUUCGGGGCUCAACCCCGUCGUGCCGUUGAAACUGGCAGUCUCGAGUUGGAGAGAAGUAUGCGGAAUGCGCGGUGUAGCGGUGAAAUGCUUAGAUAUUGCGCAGAACUCCGAUUGCGAAGGCAGCAUACCGGCGGCGAUCUGACGCUGAGGCACGAAAGCGUGGGUAUCGAACAGG
RNAcentral lists this ribosomal RNA (252 nucleotides) under uncultured Bacteroidales bacterium. RNAcentral describes it as "partial 16S ribosomal RNA". It matches the Rfam family "Bacterial small subunit ribosomal RNA", at positions 524 to 776 of the family's 1533-position model. The record is from RNAcentral. Lineage: Bacteria; Pseudomonadati; Bacteroidota; Bacteroidia; Bacteroidales.